GUGUGCGCCAGCUGCAGCAGCAACUCAAGUGGUGGAAGUCCUGAGUCCCACAGCAGCCAGCAGGUGGUGGUGGUCGAAUGCCGCAGUGGAGGCCUAGAAGGCAAAGGCUUCACCCACAACCUGGAAUUCUGACCCUCAAAGCAGAAAUGUGUACCAGUUCAACUCAAAUUGAGGUAGGAAUCAUCAGGAUUUGCUAGUAGUCAACUGAGCCCCACCAUAGUCUAGCUCCUGUGGAGGGGACCUGGCACAAAAGCAAGGUAAGUAAUUUUAAAGGAACAGUGUGGAAUUUUUGUUGUUGUUGUUGCAUCUGGUGUUAUACAAAUUAAGCUUUCAUUUUGCAUUUCAUUUUAAAAAUUUUUAGUUCACACUUAAAAUAUUUAUAGAGUUGCAUUAAUCUAAGACAUCUGUAGUGAGUUCAGUAGAUUAAUACUUUGUAGACUGAGGAAUGUGUUUAAUUUCUUCAUAUUUAGUAACUUUUUGUUUCACUUUAUAGAUAUGUCCACACAAAGCAAACUAAAAUCUUAAAAAUCAAAAACAAAGACACUGUUCUUCUCCAGCAAUAACUUUGGCAUACUGCUUUGUUUUAUCUUGUUGGUGAUUGAUGGUACUGAUGAUGGUUUUCUGAGACAAGGUUAUAUUACAUGACACAUAUAACAUAUGUCAUCUUAUAACAUAUAUGACAUCUCAGGCUGGCUUCAUACUUACUAUGCAUCUCCAGUUGGUAUGGACUCCAUAAUUCUCCUGCUUCAGCCUUUCAGGUACUAGCACAUGUGCUAUGCUGUCAUGGUCAACUGAGAUGUCUGAUGUCUGGGUUUCGUUUUGUGUGUGAGGUAUUUUUUUUGUUUUAUUUAUGUUAUCUGUAUGAGUGUUUUGCUGAAAGCAUGCGUGUGUACCAUGUGUGUGCUUGGUGCUUGCAGAGGUCAAGAGAAUGUAUCAGGUCCCCUGGAAUUAGAGGUAGACAUGCUUGAACCACCAUAUGGGUGCUAGGAACAGAACCCUAGUUCUCUGCAAAGCAGUACGUGUUCUUAACCAUUAAACUGUCUCUCCAACCCCUGAGAAGCCUGGUUUUGAUUCCUAUUUUCAUAUAUUCAGAAACACUGUGACGUCGUACUACAUCUGUGGUAACUAAGGCUCAGCUACCCACCACAGAUGCUAUGGGACACCUGAAAUGCAAUCAGUCUGCAUGUGAAGUUCUAUAAGAGUAAAACACAUACAAGAUUUCAACAACUAUUUAAAAAAAACAACUGUGUGCAAAUCAUUGACUUUUUAAAUUAACCGUGUGUUUGAGAUGUUAAUAUUUGGUAUAUGAUUUGGUUAGUGUCUUAGUUGCUGUUCUAUUGCUGUGAAGAAACACCAUGAUCAAGGUAGUUUAUUAAAGAAAGCAUCCACUUGGGACUUACUUUCAGUUUCAGAAGCAUUAGUUUGGGAUCAUUAUGACAGACAGGUGAGGUGCCAGGCAGGCAUGGUUCAAGAGCAGCAGCUUAAAGCUUGCAUCCUGAUCCAUAGCAGAGAGGGAGGAGGAAGAGAUAGGGAGGCUGGCAUGGGCUUUAGAAACCUCAAAACUCACUUCCUGUGACACACCUCCUCCAACAAGGCCACACCUUCCUAAUCCUUCUAAAACAGGUCCAUCAAUUUGGGAUCAAGCAUUCAAAUAUCCCUUGCCCAGGAAACUUCUAUGAACCAUGAAGAAAAUUGCUCUUUCCUACAGCUGAGUUCUAAUAGUUUCUACACAGGCAUGCAUAGUGUAAAUGCUAUUUUUUAAAAAUGAGUUUAUUUAUUAUUUGACAAUUAUACAAAAAUAUAUGUCCUUUUGUCCUGUUUGCCCCUCAUUGCUCCCUCAUUCUCUUUCCACUCCCUCUGAACAUAUCCUUAUUUCUAAUAUGUCUCCCUCCUAUUUUUUCUUUUUAAUAUCAACAAGGUAAUUUUAAAAUUUUUGCAUAUGAGUGCAUAUUGUGCCAUUGUGUAUAUAUGCAUGUUUUCAUGUGUAUGGGAUGCACACAUCAUGGGGUACACCCACAUAUGUGUAGAGAAUAGAGCUUGAUAGCAGAGUCUUCCUUACCUGUUCACCUUACAUAUUGGAGCUGAGUCUCUCUCUUGAACCUAGAGCUUACUGAUUUGGUUGGCCCAGCUAGCUAGCUUGCCUCAGGGAUUUGUGUCGCAGUCUCCUGGGUGUUGAAAUUAUAAAGUGAGUCGCAAUGCCUGAUUGUCAUUUACGUGUCUUUUAAUGAGCUCUGGAAAUCCGAACUCCCAAUAGUCACUCUUGCACAGCAAGUGAUUUUCCACUGUGCCAUCCACUCGUGUCCCCACCUAAGUUUAGUAAGGGGUGCUUACAUAAGCAUGGGUAUGGGGUAUUAUAAAUUUACCAGUGGCCACACCACUGAAGAAAACAGCACCCCUAAGACCCCAGCAACCAUUAGCUGCCAAUAGCUCCAUGGGACUAGAGACAGCCCAGGCUCUUACGUUCUUCCUGCCCUUUUGUCCAGGGUGUUUCCUGAGCCUGAAGGAAGUGUCUCCUGUUCAGGACUGAGCUCUCAACACUCACUUAUUCUCAGCACUUUGGCCAGUUAUGAGUUUCUACAUUAACUGCUGCCCAUUGCAGAAGGCAGCUUCCCCAGCCAGGUCUCCAAGCAUCAGUUAUCUCUGGGCUCACACACACCACUCUAAUUUCCUUGUUCUUUCUACAUGCCCCUACCUCGGGAGCUAUUCAUCUAGCAAAACUGGGCUACACUUGAUAAAAAAUCUUGAGUUUAGAAAUCUCUUCCAUAUUUAAUGUUUAAAGCAGUGUUUUCUCAGUUUCCAAGCUUUUCUUUUCUUGCCUAAGUUCCUUGGCUAGAACUUCAGGGGUCACAGUCUACAGAAGAGCUAAGAGCAGACAUCCUGGUCUUAGUCUGAUCUAAGAAAGAGACUCGGUAUUUCUGUGCCAAAUGUUAGCUGUGCUUGGGGCUUGUCACACACAGCACUUCUCAGAUUAUAUUCCUUCUAGUCCGCUAACUGAGAGCUUUCAUAAUGAGUAGGUGGAUGGAUGCAUAAUUCAUUUCUCUGUUUUACUCUGACUUUAAAAUGUAAAAUGUCAUAUUUCUAGAAUAAAUACCAUUUAUAUACAAUGUGAUAACAGCAUAGACUCUAUCAGUUAAGUAUCCAUAAUUAUCAAAUUUGAAAUAUAAAGUGUUCUAAAUCUGAAACUUUUAGAAAGCCACAAAGUAUUUAAAAGGUUUGUUUUGAGUUUGGGAGCUAUUGAGAUGGCUCAGUAGAUAAAGGCUUAUCCCCAAGCCUGACCACCCAAAUUCAAUGUCUGAAACCCAUACGUCAGAUAGAGAGGACAAAUUUCCCAAAGUUGUUCUCUGCAGACAUGCCAUUCAUAUGUGCAUGUAUUCACAUCUCUCUCUCUCUCUCUCUCUCUCUCUCUCUCUCUCUCUCUCUCUCUUCCUCUCUAAAUGUAAAAAAAAGUUUUAGACUUUAUGGUAUCAGAUGCAUGAAUAAUAUUGCACCAUAUCCAAGUUGAGAUUAAUCUCAGGGCUAUGUCCUCUGGCUAAUACUUAAAACUUUAUAAACAUAUUUUCAUAUGAUCAAGAUUAAGCACCCAGAAAACAAGGAAAUGUUAACCUGAACAUAAAAGCCACAAAGGACACAGCCCUCACAAUAGGGCAAGCCACCCUCCAUCCCUGAAACUACAAGUAAAACCAGAUGCCGGCCAAUGCCAUGCCUUCUGUGGACCACUUGAGAGCUGCAGGCCUAGAGAGUGAGCUGGGUAUCAAACUGCCUUUGUAGUGUGCCUGGUGCAUAGCAAAGUCGAUCAAAUCUCCAAGUAACAGAAUUUCAAAACCAAAUUUCAACUCAAAAAUUGAAAAUGUAGUUUCAUAUACAAGGACUUUACAAAUAUGAUGAAAAUGUAACAUACCUAUAAAUAAACCUUUUUGAAGCCCUGAAGAGAGAAAAUUAUUUUUCUUAGCUUUUGUUUUGUAUUAAAGAAUAAACAAAGUUAGGCUAGAUAAUAAGCUAUCCUUGGAUAGAAAGACUCAAUAUCCUAGAGAUGUCAGAUUCCUCAAUCCAGUGCAGCCUGGACCACAGCCAUAACUAAGGCCCAUGUAAAUCUUAACCUAACCUGCACAGGUACCCACUGGACUCCACUCAGCAGUCAUGGAACCACGGGGUCUGGGGAAAGAAGAAAAGCAGACCACCGACCCCCACAGGCAACUCUGAAUGCUCUGUUAGUCCAGACACAAAGUCCUGGAGUCAUUCUGCACCAUCAGCUGUUACAGACAACAACAAUGUCCCCUGCGGUGGACCUGUGAGACUUCAGGCCUGUCUGUGGCCUGGCCUGUCAGCCUCAUCUGAAGCAGCAGAUUCAGUCCAUUCUGUAAUCAAUUGAAAGGUUUGAGGUACAGGUCUGGAGCCUCUGUGCUAUUUUCUUGCCAGCUCCUCCCGGGACUUGUGUGUCAUGCUGCCUGUUUUAGCAUGUACUAUUUUUAAUGGUUCUCUAUUAUAAAAAAAUAUAGUGCUAAAAUAUUAAUAUGGCCAGGAAUAUGGCUUAGCAGGCAAAGCCUAACAACCUGUUUGACUUUCCAGCCCCACAUACUGGCAGAAGAAAACCAGCUUCCCCAAGUCGUCCUUUGAUCUCCACACACAUAAGAUAAGAACAUGUCUAAAAAUGGCUUGUUAUAGACCUUAACAUGCUGAUCCUUAAAAUGGUAUGAAAGAACAAAGGGGCAAAACUAGUCAAGAUCUCUUGACAAACAAGAUUGGGCAGUGAGAGGAUUAACUUAGACUGUAAGUGUGAUGGGCUUUAGAAUGACCAUGGACACAAACCUCUGAGUGCAUCUGUUGGGGGAGCUAAUUGAAGUAGGAAAACCUUCCCUAACUGUGGGGAGCACCAUUUCGUAUACUGGAAUCCUAAGCUGAGCGAAAAGGAGCAAGCGAGCUAAGCAUCAGCAUGCAUCUCUCGGCUCCUGACAGCAGACGCAGGGAGCAGAUCAAGCUCCUGCCCGCCAUGAUGUCUCCGCCAUGAUGUCGCUGAGAACUGAACAAAGCCUCCUUAGGUUGCUUUUGUUAUGUGUUCCAUCACGAUAAGAGCAGCAACUGAAAGAGGGAAUCGAUAAGAAAGCUGAUUCCAUUUUUAAAUUUUGACUGCCAAGAGCUUUCAAGCCUCAGCCUUUCUCCUUGAAUGCUACUUUUGCCGUGCUGGUAGACUCUAAAAGCCACGUAAGCUUCUCGCCAUACAUUAGCUCUCCAUCACUGUGACAAAACCCGACCGUGACGUAAGGGGGAAGCUUUGCUGUGAAUCAGCCACUGCUUCCUCGGCUUUGUAGGCUGGGGUGCUGCAUAGCACAGCAUGGCAGAAGCAUGGAGUAAAGGACUGCCCCCUGCACAGGGGAAGUAAGGCCAAUCCACCUUCUAGGGUAUCUUCAAUGAGCUAGCCUCCUUCUCCUGGGUCCCACCUACCGUUUCCACAGCCUCCUACUGUGGUCAGGGAUGGGACUGAGCCUUCGGCAUGCUGGGCUUUGGGGGCCACUCAAGAUCCAAAUUAUAAAACAGCCUGCCAGUCCCACCUCCUGGCCACAGUAAAGACCCAGCCGGUGUCCUGCCUGGGAGGCCUCAGUUACACAAUAAACUCUUCUGUGCCCCUCUGCCUCUGUGUGUGAGUGUGUGUGUGUGUGUGUGUGUGUGUGUGUGUGUGUGUGUGUGUGUGUGUGUGUGUGUGUCUUGCUGCCCAUCUGGACAUCUGAACCAGUCUUAGGAGAACAGGUACCUACCUACUUAUUAGAACCCUCAAGUUGGAAUUAACGAUAGCCUCCACCAUCAGUGUUUUUACUGUACUGAUGGGAACCAUGGGCCCUAGAAUUGUGUUACAGAAUAACGCUAGAUAAAGUGGACCUUUGUAUGUUAAUCAGGAGUUCGGAUUCAUCUCAGAAUAAUAAUGGGGGUGGGCUUAAAUAGGGAAUAAGCUUGACCCAAUGGUAGCAUUUUAAAGAUCCUCUGCUAUGAAUGGAACUGUGAUUUUCCUGUCAAUUUACAUACUCAAAUUCUAACUCCCAAGAUGACUUGUUAAGGAGGUAAAGUUAAAUGAAGUCAUAUGGUAGAAUAUUAAUUCAGUUGGACUGAUGUCUUCUGAAAAGAAAAGACAUCAGAAAACUUCUUGAUCUUCUUGCCAACAUGUGCUGGUUUGAAUGAAAAUGGCCCCCAUGGGCUCAUAGGCAGUGGCACUGUUAGGGGGUGUGGCCGUGUUGGGGAAAGUGCUCCUCAGGAGGUGGACUUCGAGGCUUUAGAGCUCAAGCCAGGCCCAGUGAAACUCUCUUUGUGCUUUCUGUGCUCUUAGCUCCUUCACCAGCACCAUGUCUGCUGCAUGCCACCAUGCUUCCUGCCAUGACGAUAAUGAACUAAACCUAUGAACUGUAAGCCAGCCCCAGUUACAUGUGUUCCUUUGUAAGAGUUUUUGUGGUGGUGGUGUCUCUUCACAGAAAUAGAAACCCAAACUGAGACGCCAUAGUAAGCUAGUCUUGGGGGAGAAAGUGAGACUGCCCGUGACUGGGUCUGACUGCUUGGAAUCCAGUUUGACCUCCAGCACCCAUACUCUGUGCAAGCUCCCAGUCUUUACAGUAAGUCAUGGCAGCCUGAGCAGAAGAAUUUCUGACCAGUGUAUAGUGAAGCAAAGGGAGUUAGGAGGAUAUUUAAGGGUAGAAACUGAAACUCCAGUCCAGACGUUAAUCCCUUCAUGUGAACAGCUUUGGAAAUGGAUCCACAGGUUUUUGUGGUAGAAAUGGGUUGGAUCUGCUUCCCCGUUUUCUAUGUGAUUUUAGAGUUACCUUUUCCAAUGGUGUCAGGGAAGCUUUUCAGUAAAGAAUGGCAUCUACCUCCAGGUGAAGACAGACCUCUGUUUCCUUCCUAAGAGUUAACCCCAUUGCGCCAGUCACUCACCCAGCAACUGCUCCCAGGAAGGCAGGUUCACAGUAAGCCAUGCUAAGGAGAUGGGAGGAAUAAUUAUCUUUUUAAUGAGAUCGUGUAUUUUUCCUCUCCAGGAUGCAGUGCAGUUCCUUGGUGCAGUUGCUAUAGAACCACCAUGGGGUUGACUCUGUCUUUCAUUCUGAGACUCAGAAAGGGAUAAUGCUUAUUCUUUCUUUUCUGUUUUUUCUUUCUUCUUUUCCUUUCAGACACCAAUCAGAGCCUCAUGUGUCUCAGAGGUACCUCAAACUUUCUCACUCUUUCUCCCAAGCACCCUACCCUGUCAUGUAGCUGCUUAUCCACCAUGUAGCUGACUCCCAUCCUCAUCCUUGUGGAGGCAGAGACAGGAGAGAUGGCAGGGCUAGGAGGCAGGGAAGUGGGGCAUCCAGCAAUGUUAUGCAAGCCUGACAAUUUGAGUUCAAUCCCUGAAACCAACAGAAAAAGGCCAGAUGUGGUAGCUUGUGCCUCUAAUCCCAGUGUUCCUACUGCAAGGAGGGAGUUGUGGCAGGAGGACUGUCUGGAAGCUUGUUGGUCAGUUAAUGUGGGAUAUACAACACAGAGGCACAAUCGAGAGAGACCAGGCUCAACCAACUCCUGACCUCACAUGAAUGGACACAGAUACAAACAAAUAACAAACAAACAGAAUAAAAAUAAAAAGGAAAGGAAAAGGCAUGACUUCUCCUAUGGAUGGUGGAGGAGAAAGUCUAUUAUAGAUAUAUGGAAGAACACAACCAGAGACAGACACAUCUGAAAGAGUCCAGUAAGGUCACGAACCUGAACUAUGUGUGAAAGAGAUGGAAAGACAGAGGAGAACUUGGUGCAGCAGCCAGGAGGCCAAAGGAACAAAAGGGGAGAGUAAAUGUCUGGAUUAUACAGGAAGAACCUCUGGGGGAAGGGCAGCCCAGCUCCUUGGCUGGAAAGUUUAGCAUGGGGGGUGGGGGGCAGGGGGCGAGGUAUGCCAGCCAUACCCUGUAACAUGUAGAGAGUGAGGGAUGCUGGGAAAACCUGGCAGCCAUUUGUCCUGGGUUUGAAACAACACAAACAAACAUCAUUCUAAACAAGUGUCUAGACAAGACAAACUAUACCCUUGAACAACAAGGUAUAUUGGGGAGAUGUGAAUGCUCUGAGACAGGAAAUACAUUUGACUUUUAUUCUAACUUAGGUGGUCGCUAUGUCUCUUCCCCAUUGGCUAGUGUCCAACCUCAGUCUUAUUCAGUUGCCUAGUCUGAACAGUAUUGGCACAAAGGAAAUCAAGAAGGGAAAAGGUCACUUUUCCAAGGAGAAAAGGAUCACUGCUCCAGGCCAUUAAAUUCCUAAAAUGUAUAUCAAAUGUUUAUCCAAAAAAAAAAAAAAAGUAUAUAAAAAGUCUUACCAAGGUGGGAGAGAUAAAAAGAUUUUAGUUCCUCGUCCUAGAUACAACUCUUACAGUAUUUGAUAGAAAAGACUCACAUUUGAUGAUUCUUACAGGCUUUUAACCUUGGGACCCACCCAAAACAACCUUUUUUUCUGUCAGCUAGACCCUAUCCUCUACAGCAUCCACAACCUUUUAAGACAGCGCCACCUGCUGGAGUCAUUGAACAGGGCAUCUUACAUUCUAACCAUGCCAGUCAAUAUUGCUCAAAAAUCACUGGACACACAUGAGAAAAAUUAUCAGUUGAACACGCUUCUUGAAAGUUUUGUGAAGCCAUUUGAGAGUCAAAUUUCAGCUGUACCUCUGCCUUGUUUUUAAAUAACAUCAACUCUCUCUUCCAGCGGAUUUCCAGAAGAGCAGCGAUGCACAGAAAAUAGAGGUAACUGCUUUUUAGAGAUUAAAUAUUCCCAGUGCAGCUUUGUCUUAGACAUAUUUGGUAGUUUUAUAACAGAUACCAUCUAGCUAACCCUUCGGCUGCUUUCUCAGUUGACCAGGUAUCUCUGCCCAGAGAAAAGUCCCCCUCAUGAGGACUGAAGCAGACACAGACCACUGGGAGACUGGGGGAAUCCUCCUAACUGAGGAAUCCCAGCCCUUUGGUAUGGCUCUGGUUUCAUCAUUCAGCCCUAGCAUGUCUUUGUUAUUUUUUCUUUUUUCUUUUUUUUUCGGAGCUGAGGACCGAACCCAGGGCCUUGCGCUUGCUAGGCAAGCGCUCUACCACUGAGCUAAAUCCCCAACCCCUUUUGGUCUUUUUGUUAUUUUGUCUUUUUUUUUUCCCCUAGCAUGUCUUUAUGAUUCACAUAAUCACAGGACUUGCAUUAGCAUGACAGACAUGAUUCUAUUUUUUCUAAAUUUUGCUUAGUAUACAGAUAAUGAGCUUCAAUGUGACAUUUUCAUACAUAUUUACCAUACUUUGUUCUUAUUUGUCCUAUUGCCCUUUCAUGUCCGACUUCCUCCCCAACGAGUAGUCCCUCCUUCCUUCAUGGCCCACGUUCCAUUACACUAACCUGUUCACUCUACUGUAAAGUGUCUUCCCUUCCUAGUUCCCUUUCUAAUUCCCCAGGGCCCCUCGCUUGCUCACUCUUUCCUGCACGAGCGUGCGCACGUGCUCGAGCGUGCGUGUGUGAGCGCGCGUGCGCACACACACACACACACACACACACACACACACCUUAAAUCUAGACACCAUGAGAGAAAACAUGUGUUUGUCUUUUGUGUCUGAUUUAUUCUCCAGCCCAUGCAGCUGCCCCAAAUGUGAUAAUUUCAUUUCUCUAAACAAUGGAAGGAAGGAUACAAUGGAGGCACCAAACUGGGCUACUCCUCUUGUCUAGAAUAGCCAUCUAGGAAAUUUUCUUCUGUUAUUUAACUGGAUGGAUUUGAUGCCUUUAGUUAUUAUCUUAGAGACUUCUGUCCUUGGAUUCUGAAGAUUGUUAGGAAACUUAGUCAGAUUAUAGAUUUGUUUUACAUGCAUGCUGACUUGCUUACUUUCUUUACUGUCAUAGAAACGUGGUAUUCUUUCAACUUUGUCUUCAGUGUCAGAUACUUUUUCUUGGUUUUGUUUGUUUGUUUGUUUGUUUGUUUGUUUUGUUUUUGAGUCAUUAAAGUUUUCAUUUCCAACAUCCCCCCCCCCAACCUUAAUUUCCUCACAAAAUUUCUCUAUCGUGCUGAUGGUGUUUUCUCCUGUCACACUGAUUUUCCCGAUUAUUUUUCUGACUCUCUGUGUCCCUGACUUCCCAUUCCAGGGUACGCAUCUGCUUGUUUGCACCAUUUCGGAUCACUGAUAAUUUUAACUGGUAAACCUUGGAAGUCUUCACAAGGCAUCACAAGGGCUGUCAGGCGCACAGGACUUCGAGUCGUCUAUGAGACAACCCCAGGGCAUGUCUGUAAAUGGGUUUCCAGAUUCAGUUAAUUGAGGUGGGACGAACCACCUUGAGAAUAGGCAGCACCAUUCCAUGGGCUGGGGUCUGAACCAAAGUAGAAAGGAAGCUGAACGCCAGUGCUCAUCUCUCUUUGCUGCCUGACUGCGGACAAAGUGCAAGCAGCAGCCUCAUAACUACCACGAUGACUGUUUGUAUCCUCAAAGCCUUAAAUAAUAAAUAAAUAAAUAAGGCCUUCCUUUUUUAGUUGUAGGACUUUCUCAGACUCGCCAGCGGUUCAAUAUCGACGUGGAGACAUCUAAUACAGUUUAAAGCUUAGGCUAUUUACAGUCUUUCAGCCACUUUCUAACUUAAUCCAACUUCCUAGCGCUGUGUCCCACCACCUCCCUGCUCGGCUACGGUCUCCCUUCCGUUCUGUUUUGUACCUGACUCUGAAUUUCCCGGAUCUGCUUUCUUCUUCCUGAGUCACUCUCCCUGCCCGGAAGUUCCACCCUCAUACUUUCUGCCCCAGCUAUUGGCUAUCAGUUCUUUAUUACAACCAAUCAGCAGUAAAACAACACCAGAACAUCUCUUAGCUUGACGAAGGCAUUGAGAGAUGCCUGACUUUCAUGUUUUGGGAAGGUGUGGAAGGACAAGCAUUUACCAAUAUAAAGCUGAGGAUAGGCCGUAGAAAUGAUACCAAAAUCCUGCCAACACUUAGCCCUCUGCUGAUACUGUAGUCAACAAUUCAAACUACAGACAUACCUCAUAUGAAUAAAUUCAUCCUAAAAAAAAGUUGCUUCUGCCUGGUAUUUUGCUACAGCAAUGCAAAAGGAAUGAAUACAAGCAUUUUAAACAUUUCUGUAUCUUUGAAUAUAAGAAUCACGAUCUUUGGUGGACCCACACUGUCUUACUUUUUUAUAUUUGUUGGUUUGGACAUCCCUCCUGGUUGCCUUUGGGGGUUGCUUUAUUGAGCAGUCCACUUUUCCAAUACUUGUGAAGGAGGAGAAAACAAACUGCUUCAGAACAAGGCUUCUGCUACCCCGGUUCAGAUUAUGAAUAGCCAGUUGGAUUUUUUUUUUUUUCGGCCAGAGAGGUAAGCUGUCAAGAAAUGUGAAAAUAGAGCUUGCUGCAUUGAUAUGCUAUGCUGCAACUUUUAUUAACCAAUAUUACUAUUAAAGACAUUUCUAAGCUCU
Molecule: non-coding RNA, 11396 nt
Organism: Rattus norvegicus (Norway rat)
Lineage: Eukaryota; Metazoa; Chordata; Mammalia; Rodentia; Muridae
Source: RefSeq, a predicted model, not a curated record